GUGGAUGUUGGUGACAAUUGGUCCACUGUAGGAGUAGGGUGUGCACCUAGACGGGAUCUAUCGACCCUAGUAGAAGAGAGUAGUCCUAUGGGAUUUAAGAAGUUAAGUCUUUAAGUUUAUAGCCAUAGCAUUGUGAUUAAUGAAAAAGAGUUUUCAUAAAAAUCAUACAUGGACUCGAGUUGAUUGAAUCUAUCAUAUGACCGAUGAUGAGGUUUGACAAUUCAUCUAUGACUUGCCAUCUAGUUGAGACUCACAAUAGAGGGACUGUAUCAUACAU
Molecule: long non-coding RNA, 277 nt
Filed under: Elaeis guineensis (African oil palm)
Lineage: Eukaryota; Viridiplantae; Streptophyta; Magnoliopsida; Arecales; Arecaceae
Description: long non-coding RNA (EGUI_LNC061134)
Source: RNAcentral